GAUGUGGAGUGUUAUAUCAAACAUGAGUAGAAUUCAAUAUGAUUCAAAAGUGGACACGAAAACCUAAA
Molecule: non-coding RNA, 68 nt
Filed under: unclassified sequences
Description: RAGATH-18 RNA
Rfam family: RAGATH-18 RNA
About the family: Actinobacteria, Firmicutes, Fusobacteria, Thermotogae (1 example). Nearby to self-cleaving ribozyme genes
Source: Rfam by way of RNAcentral